UGUUAUGGAUCUUGAGGGUCA
Molecule: small nuclear RNA, 21 nt
Filed under: Arabidopsis thaliana (thale cress)
Lineage: Eukaryota; Viridiplantae; Streptophyta; Magnoliopsida; Brassicales; Brassicaceae
Description: snRNA_17567
Source: RNAcentral